AUAUUGGACAAUGGACGAAAAGUCUGAUCCAGCCAUGCCGCGUGCAGGAUGAAAGCCCUACGGGUUGUAAACUGCUUUUAUACAGGAAGAAACACUCCGACGUGUCGGAGCUUGACGGUACUGUAGAAAUAAGGAUCGGCUAACUCCGUGCCAGCAGCCGCGGUAAUACGGAGGAUCCAAGCGUUAUCCGGAAUCAUUGGGUUUAAAGGGUCCGCAGGCUGUUUUUUAAGUCAGAGGUGAAAUCCUACAGCUCAACUGUAGAACUGCCUUUGAUACUGA
RNAcentral lists this ribosomal RNA (279 nucleotides) under uncultured Flavobacteriia bacterium. RNAcentral's name for it is "partial 16S ribosomal RNA". It matches the Rfam family "Bacterial small subunit ribosomal RNA", at positions 361 to 636 of the family's 1533-position model. Lineage: Bacteria; Pseudomonadati; Bacteroidota; Flavobacteriia. The record is from RNAcentral.